UCCUCACUGCUCGCAGUGUCCACAGGCAGCAGCAGCAGAAUCUGGGAGUUUAUUAGAUAUGUAGGAUGGCAGAUCCACUGCAGGCCUCCUGAGUCAGAAUCUGUCCUUUAAGAAGAUCCCCAGACCAAUAGGAAUUAAAUCCAAGAAGGAAGGCUUUGUAAAAUAUGGUGCAGGUCAACCACAAACAUUUCAAAGGGCACCACCAUUGAGACAACAUGGAAGUGGAGGAAACAAUUGAACAACAUUAGAGUCAAGUGAGAGUUGACUGUGAAGGGCAUGGGGAGUUUCACAGUGACUCCUGGGUUUUGAGCUUUUGUGAAGAUAACAAAAGAUGCCUCUUGAUUUUAAUUUUUCUAAUCAGCCUUCCCAAAUUUAUUAUGGAAAAUUACUUUAAGUGUUUAUACUUUCCACCUCUUCUCUGUAUGAUCUGUAUAAAAUAAAAUUACUUUACAUGA
This 455-nucleotide long non-coding RNA is filed under the name Homo sapiens (human). RNAcentral describes it as "non-protein coding lnc-SPATA31D1-4:33". The record is from RNAcentral. Lineage: Eukaryota; Metazoa; Chordata; Mammalia; Primates; Hominidae.